Plectosphaerella cucumerina is the source of this 107-nucleotide non-coding RNA. NCBI's taxonomy places the organism in Eukaryota, Fungi, Ascomycota, Sordariomycetes, Glomerellales, Plectosphaerellaceae. The record is from the annotation of a GenBank genome assembly.
GGCGAGGUGGCCGAGUGGUUAAGGCGACAGACUAGAAGCAUCUGUCCCAGGUCUUCAUCAGCCAUCUGUUGGGUUCGCCCGCGUAGGUUCAAAUCCUGCCCUCGUCG